GAUGAACGCUAGCGAUAGGCUUAACACAUGCAAGUCGAGGGGCAGCAUGGUCUUAGCUUGCUAAGACUGAUGGCGACCGGCGCACGGGUGCGUAACGCGUACGCAACUUGCCUCACAGAGGGGGAUAACCCGUCGAAAGACGGACUAAUACCGCGUACACUCCAGCUUGGGCAUCCAAGCUAGAGGAAAUGAAAUUCGCUGUGAGAUAGGCAUGCGUCCCAUUAGCUAGUUGGUGAGGUAACGGCUCACCAAGGCGACGAUGGGUAGGGGAACUGAGAGGUUGAACCCCCACACUGGUACUGAGACACGGACCAGACUCCUACGGGAGGCAGCAGUGAGGAAUAUUGGUCAAUGGGCGAGAGCCUGAACCAGCCAAGUCGCGUGAAGGAUGACUGUCUUAUGGAUUGUAAACUUCUUUUAUACGGGAAUAACAAGAGUCACGUGUGACUCCCUGCAUGUACCGUAUGAAUAAGCAUCGGCUAACUCCGUGGCAGCUGCCGCGGUAAUACGGAGGAUGCGAGCGUUAUCCGGAUUUUUUGGGUUUAAAGGGUGCGUAGGCGGCCUGUGAAGUUUCGUUGGAAAAUAAAUGAGCUUAACUCCUAAUUUGCCAUUGAUACUGGCGGGUUUUGAUUGUAUGAUUAGGUAGGCGGAAUGCGUGGUGUAGCGUGGGAUUGAUAGUUGCUGUUACAUUUGUGGUUUGUGGGUGUGUGUUGAUUGUGGGCUGUGUGUGCUUGUGGUGGAAUG
This 744-nucleotide ribosomal RNA is filed under the name uncultured Neisseria sp. Its description in RNAcentral is "bacterial SSU rRNA". It matches the Rfam family "Bacterial small subunit ribosomal RNA", at positions 28 to 708 of the family's 1533-position model. Lineage: Bacteria; Pseudomonadati; Pseudomonadota; Betaproteobacteria; Neisseriales; Neisseriaceae. The record is from RNAcentral.